GAUGAACGCUGGCGGCGUGCCUAAUACAUGCAAGUCGAGCGAACAGACGAGGAGCUUGCUCCUCUGACGUUAGCGGCGGACGGGUGAGUAACACGUGGAUAACCUACCUAUAAGACUGGGAUAACUUCGGGAAACCGGAGCUAAUACCGGAUAAUAUAUUGAACCGCAUGGUUCAAUAGUGAAAGACGGUUUUGCUGUCACUUAUAGAUGGAUCCGCGCCGCAUUAGCUAGUUGGUAAGGUAACGGCUUACCAAGGCGACGAUGCGUAGCCGACCUGAGAGGGGGAUCGGCCACACUGGAACUGAGACACGGUCCAGACUCCUACGGGAGGCAGCAGUAGGGAAUCUUCCGCAAUGGGCGAAAGCCUGACGGAGCAACGCCGCGUAAGUGAUGAAGGUCUUCGGAUCGUAAAACUCUGUUAUUAGGGAAGAACAAAUGUGUAAGUAACUAUGCACGUCUUGACGGUACCUAAUCAGAAAGCCACGGCUAACUACGUG
Molecule: ribosomal RNA, 497 nt
Filed under: uncultured bacterium
Lineage: Bacteria
Description: partial 16S ribosomal RNA
Rfam family: Bacterial small subunit ribosomal RNA
Source: RNAcentral